Molecule: ribosomal RNA, 166 nt
Filed under: uncultured bacterium
Lineage: Bacteria
Description: partial 16S ribosomal RNA
Rfam family: Bacterial small subunit ribosomal RNA
Source: RNAcentral
CUAGUAAUGGCAGGUCAGCAUACUGCCGUGAAUACGUUCCCGGGCCCUUGUACACACCGCCCGUCACACCAUGAGAGUUGGGAAUACCCGAAGCCUGUGAGCUAACAUAACGAGGCAGCAGUCGAAGGUAGAAUCAAUGAUUGGGGUGAAGUCGUAACAAGGUAGC